UGCUACAGUCAUAUCACCCAGCAUCAAGCAGGGCUGAGCCUGGUCAGUGCCUGUACGGGAGACCACAUGAGAAAACUAGGUUGCUGUUGGAA
This 92-nucleotide ribosomal RNA is filed under the name Danio rerio (zebrafish). Lineage: Eukaryota; Metazoa; Chordata; Actinopteri; Cypriniformes; Danionidae. The record is from RNAcentral.